RNAcentral lists this ribosomal RNA (263 nucleotides) under uncultured bacterium. RNAcentral describes it as "partial 16S ribosomal RNA". It matches the Rfam family "Bacterial small subunit ribosomal RNA", at positions 333 to 593 of the family's 1533-position model. The record is from RNAcentral.
UUAGGCCUACGGGGGGCAGCAGUGAGGAAUAUUAGUCAAUGGUCGGGAGACUGAACCAGCCAAGCCGCGUGAGGGAUGAAGGUACAGAGUAUCGUAAACCUCUUUUGUCAGGGAACAAAGGCGGGGACGCGUCCCCGGAUGAGUGUACCUGAAGAAAAAGCAUCGGCUAACUCCGUGCCAGCAGCCGCGGUAAUACGGAGGAUGCGAGCGUUAUCCGGAUUUAUUGGGUUUAAAGGGUGCGAAGGCGGUCUGUUAAGUCAGCG